RNAcentral lists this ribosomal RNA (20 nucleotides) under Fusarium solani. RNAcentral's name for it is "partial 18S ribosomal RNA". Lineage: Eukaryota; Fungi; Ascomycota; Sordariomycetes; Hypocreales; Nectriaceae. The record is from RNAcentral.
AACCAGCGGAGGGAUUAUUA